Molecule: non-coding RNA, 279 nt
Filed under: Aspergillus oryzae
Lineage: Eukaryota; Fungi; Ascomycota; Eurotiomycetes; Eurotiales; Aspergillaceae
Description: Eukaryotic small subunit ribosomal RNA
Rfam family: Eukaryotic small subunit ribosomal RNA
Source: Rfam by way of RNAcentral
UAAUCUUGUUAAACCCUGUCGUGCUGGGGAUAGAGCAUUGCAAUUAUUGCUCUUCAACGAGGAAUGCCUAGUAGGUCACGAGUCAUCAGCUCGUGCGAUUACGUCCUGCCCUUGUACACACGCCGUCGCUACUACCGAUUGAAUGGCUCGGUGAGCCUUCGGACUGCCCCAGGAGGGUUGGCAACGACCCCCAGGGCCGGAAAGUUGGUCAAACCCGGCAUUUAGAGGAAGUAAAGUCGUAACAAGGUUUCCGUAGGUGAACCUGCGGAAGGAUCAUUA